RNAcentral lists this signal recognition particle RNA (262 nucleotides) under Thermomicrobiales bacterium. Its description in RNAcentral is "signal recognition particle sRNA large type". It matches the Rfam family "Bacterial large signal recognition particle RNA". Rfam says of the family: The signal recognition particle (SRP) is a universally conserved ribonucleoprotein involved in the co-translational targeting of proteins to membranes. Archaeal SRP consists of a 7S RNA and homologues of the eukaryotic SRP19 and SRP54 proteins. In most bacteria, the SRP consists of a 4.5S RNA and the Ffh protein (a homologue of the eukaryotic SRP54 protein). Lineage: Bacteria; Pseudomonadati; Thermomicrobiota; Thermomicrobia; Thermomicrobiales. The record is from RNAcentral.
UCGUGCUAGACGGGGAGUUAGCGGUGCCCUGUACCCGCAACCCGCUCCAGCGGGGUUGAAUUCCCUCUCGAGGCUCGGCUUUGCAGGACUGUUCCGAUACGGAGUGUUGAACAUCGGGUCUCACACGGCGGGGAACUGUGAAUCAGGUCAGGACCGGAAGGUAGCAGCCUUAAGCAGCACUCUUCGGGUGAUGUGAGGUUUCCCGGUGGGAGCUCACGACCGGCAAUAAGCUGGAAGGUUCUUGUCGACAGAGGGUGCACGA